UACGAAGGGGGCUAGCGUUGCUCGGAAUUACUGGGCGUAAAGGGCGCGUAGGCGGACAUUUAAGUCAGAGGUGAAAGCCCAGGGCUCAACCUUGGAAUUGCCUUUGAUACUGGAUGUCUUGAGUUCGGGAGAGGUGAGUGGAAUGCCGAGUGUAGAGGUGAAAUUCGUAGAUAGUCGGGAGGAACACCAGUGGCGAAGGGCCGGACUCUCGUGGGCAAUGACGUGACGCUGAGACGCGAAAGCGUGGGUAGCAAACAGG
This 259-nucleotide ribosomal RNA is filed under the name uncultured bacterium. RNAcentral's name for it is "partial 16S ribosomal RNA". It matches the Rfam family "Bacterial small subunit ribosomal RNA", at positions 524 to 776 of the family's 1533-position model. The record is from RNAcentral.